RNAcentral lists this ribosomal RNA (297 nucleotides) under uncultured Eubacteriales bacterium. RNAcentral describes it as "uncultured Clostridiales bacterium partial 16S ribosomal RNA". It matches the Rfam family "Bacterial small subunit ribosomal RNA", at positions 47 to 339 of the family's 1533-position model. Lineage: Bacteria; Bacillati; Bacillota; Clostridia; Eubacteriales. The record is from RNAcentral.
CCUAACACAUGCAAGUCGAACGGAGUCAAGAGGAGCUUGCUUUUCUUGACUUAGUGGCGAACGGGUGAGUAACGCGUGAGCAACCUUUCCCAGACAGGGGAAUAACACACCGAAAGGUGUACUAAUACCGCAUAAGACCACGGGAUCACAUGGUUCUGGGGUAAAAGAUUUAUCGGUUUGGGGUGGGCUCGCGUCCGAUUAGGUAGUUGGUGAGGUAACGGCCCACCAAGCCGACGAUCGGUAGCCGGACUGAGAGGUUGAACGGCCACAUUGGGACUGAGACACGGCCCAAACUCC